This 81-nucleotide transfer RNA is filed under the name Rubritalea squalenifaciens DSM 18772. It matches the Rfam family "tRNA". From Rfam's summary of the family: Transfer RNA (tRNA) molecules are approximately 80 nucleotides in length. Lineage: Bacteria; Pseudomonadati; Verrucomicrobiota; Verrucomicrobiia; Verrucomicrobiales; Rubritaleaceae. The record is from Rfam by way of RNAcentral.
GCCGGCGUGGCGGAAUUGGUAGACGCGCUCGACUCAAAAUCGAGUUCCAUUGGAGUGCCGGUUCGACUCCGGCCGCCGGUA